CCUCGGGAGGUAGUAGUGGGGAAGAGUGGGCAAGGGAGGAAACUCGGACCCAGCAACGACGAGUGAAGGAGGAAGGGCUUCGGAUUGUAAAGCUCUUUUUUAAGGGAAGAAGAAAGUGACGGUACCUUAGGUAUAAGCCUUGGCUAACGACGGGCCAGCAGCCGCGGUAAUACGUAGGAGGCAAGCGUUAUCCGGAAUGCCUGGGCGUAAAGGGUGCGUAGGUGGUUUGACAAGUUGGUAGCGUAACUCCGGGGCUCAACCUCGGCACUGCUACCCAAACUGUUGGACUUGAGUGCCGGAGAGGCAAGUGGAAUUCCUAGUGUAGCGGUGAAAUGCGUAGAUAUUAGGAGGAACACCAGUGGCGAAGGCGGUUUGCUGGACUGUAACUGACACUGAGGCACGAAAGCGUGGGGAGCAAACAGGAUUAGAUACCCCAGUAGUC
Molecule: ribosomal RNA, 442 nt
Filed under: uncultured bacterium
Lineage: Bacteria
Description: partial 16S ribosomal RNA
Rfam family: Bacterial small subunit ribosomal RNA
Source: RNAcentral